RNAcentral lists this long non-coding RNA (204 nucleotides) under Malus domestica (apple). RNAcentral's name for it is "long non-coding RNA (MDOM_LNC016623)". Lineage: Eukaryota; Viridiplantae; Streptophyta; Magnoliopsida; Rosales; Rosaceae. The record is from RNAcentral.
GGUGCCUCGUUAAAACCUAGUUAGGUAGCAAAAACCCAGUGGGAAAAAUGCUCCUAAUCGUAGGGAAAAAAAGUACAUUAAGAUCAAGCAAGUAUCCAGAAGAUACUCCCCCUGAGUUUGACAUAAUUCCAAAAAGAAAUAGCAAAGUUACAACUCAGAAAGUUUACGCAUACCAAUUCCAUGAACAAGCUUCUGAAACGUCGC